GACGAACGCUGGCGGCGUGCUUAACACAUGCAAGUCGAACGGAAAGGCCCUGCUUUUGUGGGGUGCUCGAGUGGCGAACGGGUGAGUAACACGUGAGUAACCUGCCCUUGACUUUGGGAUAACUUCAGGAAACUGGGGCUAAUACCGGAUAGGAGCUCCUGCUGCAUGGUGGGGGUUGGAAAGUUUCGGCGGUUGGGGAUGGACUCGCGGCUUAUCAGCUUGUUGGUGGGGUAGUGGCUUACCAAGGCUUUGACGGGUAGCCGGCCUGAGAGGGUGACCGGCCAAAUUGGGACUGAGAAAAGGCCCAGAAUCCUACGGGAGGGAGGAGGGGGGAAAAUUGCACAAUGGGCGGAAGGCUGAUGGAGCAACGCCGCGGGGGGGAAGACGGCCUUCGGGUUGUAACCGCUUUCGCCUGUGACGAAGCGUGAGUGACGGUAAUGGGUAAAGAAGCACCGGCUAACUACGUG
Molecule: ribosomal RNA, 467 nt
Filed under: uncultured bacterium
Lineage: Bacteria
Description: partial 16S ribosomal RNA
Rfam family: Bacterial small subunit ribosomal RNA
Source: RNAcentral